Molecule: small RNA, 102 nt
Filed under: Arabidopsis thaliana (thale cress)
Lineage: Eukaryota; Viridiplantae; Streptophyta; Magnoliopsida; Brassicales; Brassicaceae
Description: ATSL256060
Source: RNAcentral
UUUAUAAUUGUUAUUAAGUAACGCUAUACCACGAAUCCAUGAGACAAUUGUUAAAAAAAUUGAAGUUUUAACCCUUAUUAAAACAACAUAUUAACAAUAUUU